UCCCCGGUCGUCCAACGGUAGGACACCGGUCUUUGGAGCCGAGAAUCCAGGUUCGAAUCCUGGUCGGGGAA
RNAcentral lists this transfer RNA (71 nucleotides) under Planctomycetota bacterium. Its description in RNAcentral is "tRNA-Gln". It matches the Rfam family "tRNA". From Rfam's summary of the family: Transfer RNA (tRNA) molecules are approximately 80 nucleotides in length. Their secondary structure includes four short double-helical elements and three loops (D, anti-codon, and T loops). Further hydrogen bonds mediate the characteristic L-shaped molecular structure. tRNAs have two regions of fundamental functional importance: the anti-codon, which is responsible for specific mRNA codon recognition, and the 3' end, to which the tRNAs corresponding amino acid is attached (by aminoacyl-tRNA synthetases). tRNAs cope with the degeneracy of the genetic code in two manners: having more than one tRNA (with a specific anti-codon) for a particular amino acid; and 'wobble' base-pairing, i.e. permitting non-standard base-pairing at the 3rd anti-codon position. Lineage: Bacteria; Pseudomonadati; Planctomycetota. The record is from RNAcentral.